GUUGUCUACUUCCUUGUGCCCUCCGGAGUCGAGCUCUGUCAGUGCAUGAUUCUUGCCAAUCGCUAAACGUAGGACUCGAGGAAGGCCAUUGGCAAUUCUGCUAAGAAGACAGUGCAAGUGCCUAUAAAAACGACAGUUUAGGGGGAAAACAAACCAAUACCCGGAAAGCUGAGAGGCCAGCUUUUUAAUCGUCAUGGUUUUAUGUAAAAUAAAACAGCACGUGGAAGGUAUUGUAAGCGCUUGGUGGCUGCUCGAGCCCCCAGAAAGGUGCUUGGUUCUUCCACCUCUGCCACUAAUUCGACAUCAGUUUCAUCGAGGAAAGCUGAAAAUAAAUAUGCAGGAGGGAACCCCGUUUGCGUGCGCCCAACUCCCAAGUGGCAAAAAGGAAUUGGAGAAUUCUUUAGGUUGUCCCCUAAAGAUUCUGAAAAAGAGAAUCAGAUUCCUGAAGAGGCAGGAAGCAGUGGCUUAGGAAAAGCAAAGAGAAAAGCAUGUCCUUUGCAACCUGAUCACACAAAUGAUGAAAAAGAAUAGAACUUUCUCAUUCAUCUUUGAAUAACGUCUCCUUGUUUACCCUGGUAUUCUAGAAUGUAAAUUUACAUAAAUGUGUUUGUUCCAAUUAGCUUUGUUGAACAGGCAUUUAAUUAAAAAAUUUAGGUUUAAAUUUAGAUGUUCAAAAGUAGUUGUGAAAUUUGAGAAUUUGUAAGACUAAUUAUGGUAACUUAGCUUAGUAUUCAAUAUAAUGCAUUGUUUGGUUUCUUUUACCAAAUUAAGUGUCUAGUUCUUGCUAAAAUCAAGUCAUUGCAUUGUGUUCUAAUUACAAGUAUGUUGUAUUUGAGAUUUGCUUAGAUUGUUGUACUGCUGCCAUUUUUAUUGGUGUUUGAUUAUUGGAAUGGUGCCAUAUUGUCACUCCUUCUACUUGCUUUAAAAAGCAGAGUUAGAUUUUUGCACAUUAAAAAAUUCAGUAUUAAUUAAACAUUACUUAUUCUACCCUCUUUUUUGGCAAGGAGGACAAAUACGCAAUGUUGGAAAACCUUGGAUGGAUAUCUUCUCUUUAAAAAAAUGUAAAGAUAAUUUGGUCUUGAGGGUUUAAACGGUUGAUAAUGCCUCUACAACAACAAGAAAAAAGAUAAAAUACUAGGAUAGAAUCAUGGUGGGCACAGUGGCUUCUCAGGAGGCUGAGGAGGGAGGUUUGCUUGAGUCCAGGAGUUGGAGACCAGCCCAGGCAACAUAGCGUAAACCCUAUCUCUAAAACAAUUUUUAGCCGGGUGCGGUGGCUCACGCCUGUAAUCCCAGCACUCUGGGAGGCCGAGGCGGGUGGAUCAUGAGGUCAGGAGAUCGAGACCAUCCUGCCUAACAAGGUGAAACCCCGUCUCUACUAAAAAUACAAAAAAUUAGCCGGGCGCGGUGGCGGGCGCCUGUAGUCCCAGCUACUCGGGAGGCUGAGGCAGGAGAAUGGCGUGAACCCGGGAAGUGGAGCUUGCAGUGAGCCGAGAUUGCGCCACUGCAGUCGGCAGUCCGGCUUGGGCGACAGAGCGAGACUCCGUCUCAAAAAAAAAAAAAAAAAAAAUUUUAAAAAAGGCUGAGUGCAGUGGCUCACACCUGUAAUCCCAGCACUUUGGGAGGCCAAGGCAGGUGGAUCACCUGAGAUAGGAGUUCAAGACCAGCCUGGCCAGCAUGGUGAAACUGUCACUACUAAAAAUGAAAAAAUGAGCCAGGCAUGGUGGCACAUGCCUGUAAUCCCAGCUACUCAGGAGGCUGAGGCAGGAGAAUCGCUUGAACCUGGGAGGUGGAGGUUGCAGUGAGCCCAGAUUGUGCCACUGCACUCCAGCCUGAACAACAGAGUGAGACAAUGUCUUAAAAAAAAAAAAAGAAAGAAAAGAAAAAAAUAUAUAUUUAUAUAUGAACAAUAAAAAAUUAGCCUGGCAUGGUGGCACACACAGUGGAACCAGAUCCCAUCUCUUAAAAGAAAUUUUCCUAGGAUUUGCAUUUGAUUCGCUAUCAUAAAAUAUAAUUUUAAAGUUGGAAGUCAAUAUAACAUGAAAGGCAAAUCAUGCCAUAAACCCAUAGGCAUGGCAAAACUCCUAAGAGCUACUAUGACAUUUUUCAACAUAACCAGAGGUAUAAUUGAAGAAGUGGGUAUAAUAUUCCUCAUCACCCUUUUUGCAGCAGCCUGUUGUCAAAAGUAAUCAUAUUUUAGUAGGCAUAUUUUUCUGAAAUACGUUUGUAAUAAAUGCAUACUUAUUUUUACAAUACACUA
Homo sapiens (human) is the source of this 2257-nucleotide RNA transcript. It is a transcript of the gene named PCNA clamp associated factor, with no coding region annotated. NCBI's taxonomy places the organism in Eukaryota, Metazoa, Chordata, Mammalia, Primates, Hominidae. The record is from RefSeq and is marked validated. The transcript is spliced from 4 exons.